GGAGGAUCCAAGCGUUAUCCGGAUUUAUUGGGUUUAAAGGGUGCGUAGGCGGAAUAGUAAGUCAGUGGUGAAAGCCUGCAGCUUAACUGUAGAAUUGCCAUUGAUACUGCUAAUCUUGAGUACAUAUGAAGUGGGCGGAAUGUGUCAUGUAGCGGUGAAAUGCUUAGAUAUGACACAGAACACCGAUUGCGAAGGCAGCUCACUAAACUGUAACUGACGCUGAGGCACGAAAGCAUGGGGAGCAAACAGGAUUAGAUACCCUGGUAGUCCAUGCCGUAAACUAUGAUUACUCGAUGUGUGCGAUACACUGUACGCGUCUAAGSGAAAGCGUUAAGUAAUCCACCUGGGAAGUACGACYKYAAGGUUG
This 367-nucleotide ribosomal RNA is filed under the name uncultured bacterium. Its description in RNAcentral is "bacterial SSU rRNA". It matches the Rfam family "Bacterial small subunit ribosomal RNA", at positions 527 to 896 of the family's 1533-position model. The record is from RNAcentral.